Molecule: ribosomal RNA, 411 nt
Filed under: uncultured Bacteroides sp.
Lineage: Bacteria; Pseudomonadati; Bacteroidota; Bacteroidia; Bacteroidales; Bacteroidaceae
Description: bacterial SSU rRNA
Rfam family: Bacterial small subunit ribosomal RNA
Source: RNAcentral
UGAGGAAUAUUGGUCAAUGGCCGAGAGGCUGAACCAGCCAAGUCGCGUGAGGGAUGAAGGUUCUAUGGAUCGUAAACCUCUUUUAUAAGGGAAUAAAGUGCGGGACGUGUCCCGUUUUGUAUGUACCUUAUGAAUAAGGAUCGGCUAACUCCGUGCCAGCAGCCGCGGUAAUACGGAGGAUCCGAGCGUUAUCCGGAUUUAUUGGGUUUAAAGGGUGCGUAGGUCGGACUGGUAAGUCAGUUGUGAAAGUUUGCGGCUCAACCGUAAAAUUGCAGUUGAUACUGUCAGUCUUGAGUACAGUAGAGGUGGGCGGAAUUCGUGGUGUAGCGGUGAAAUGCUUAGAUAUCACGAAGAACUCCGAUUGCGAAGGCAGCUCACUGGACUGCAACUGACACUGAUGCUCGAAAGUGU